AAAGUUCAGCGACUCCACUUGCCUCUCCUCUCAUUUCUUUCGGAAAGGGGAAACCAGACGACCCAGCGGCCACGGGACGAGUCGCCCCAACUCAACCCCAGCAGGACGCUGGAGGGGCCUCCCUUGCCCACCUCUCUUCGCUGGCACUGGCCUCCUGCACCCGGGUCUGCAGUCCCUCCGCCAUCUCACAAGUGUGCAGCCGCUAGGCCUGGGGGAUCCGAAUGACUGGGGCUGGAUAGGAAUGCCUUCGUGUUUCCCAAGACCCCCGGGCCUGCUCCACAAAGUUUGAAGGGUGGGUACACCCCGACCCAGGAGCUCAGAGAUGCCCGGGAAGACGGGGGGCCCGAAUGGAAGCAGAAAAACACUUAUGGCCGCUGGGAAGUUGGGAGAGCCAGGCUGGGACUCCGGCAGGCCCAGGGAAAGUUCCCCUUCUAGGCUCUUUAUUAAAAAAUUUAAAAGGAGGAGUUGAGGCGCCUUGAAUUUUCCUUCGCGAGUUUGGAGACCAGCCGAUUUUUCACGAAGCAAGCAAAGACCGCGGUCCCGGAUCCUGCAACAUAUACCUCAUUUUCUCCAGACUCUGCUUUUUCAUUUUUCUCCCUUAGGCCUCUCCACUUGCCCGAGCUCUCAGCCACCAGGAGACAGACGGAAGGGGCUUCUGGGCUGUGUUGGGAGCGGGCAUUGUCCCCUACCCACUCCUGCACAGUUUCCCAAAGUCCAGCCACCUCCGACCCUCCUUGGGGGAAAAAAUACCAGUACCCAGACACCUCUGCACCCUGUUAUAUGACUGGGCUUGCUUCAGGAAUAUCUUACAAAGAAGAAGGAGGAGGAGGAGGAACGGCUUGGAGUCAUGUUUACAUCUAGUUCUACUGAUCCGUUCACAUCUGGAGAGUUUAUUUAUAACUCCCUCUAUAACUCUCUGUUUGGAGGCACUGGUGGCUCUACUGACAGACUGAUGUCUAGGAAAUAUUGCUCUAUGUCUAAUGGUACCUAAAUGUGCUGUGGUUGUAUUUACAGAUUUACGUUUGAGGGAAAUAUAAUUAUUUCCAUUGUAUUUGUGCA
Molecule: long non-coding RNA, 1059 nt
Filed under: Homo sapiens (human)
Lineage: Eukaryota; Metazoa; Chordata; Mammalia; Primates; Hominidae
Description: novel transcript
Source: RNAcentral